CAACAGCAGUAACACUGAAAGAGCUAGCACUUACCUACAAACACCAGAGCACUCGGAUGAGCAUGGUUUCAGCUCUAAUCAUAAUUUUUGUCUGCAGAUCUGAAAACCUGGCCUCUCUGUGCUGGCAGGAUGAUAUGGAUGUGUAUCCGGAGAUCAGCUGCAGCCAUCAGCUUGACUUCAGCCUAAAACCAGAGGAGAUCUGGCCUCGUGAAUGAGUUUCCAACCACCUUUCUGCCUCAGGCUGGCUUUUCCCUGAAUUUGAAAGUCCACCCCCGUGCUCUUCUCUGUUUUGAGCACUGUCCCCUGUCGGGUUGGAUACGACCCACCUGCCUUUGCUGCCGCUCAGCUCUGCAUCUUGUCUCCUUGCAGAAAUCCCGGAAGGAAUGUGGAGGGUUGAAUGAACUCUACGUGCUGGCAACGCUGCAGCCACCUGCAAACAGCAAAACAUCCCCGAGUGGAGACCUCAUGCUCUUUUUCCUACUUGCCUUCCCUUCCUUCAAAAGGAGCGUUUUGCUGCCCUCUCCUGUGCAAAGACAGGCAGAAAAGGCACUGGACUGUUUGUAAAUAUGCUUUCAGGUCUCUGGGUGGAGAGGGAAAAAUUGCAGUGCAAUGUUUGAGGGCUCCACCGGACGCCACAGCAGCCAAAAGAGGCUGCUCAGGGCACUCUCACCUUUGCCAGCAUCCCCAGGCCGGCUGGGCUGACACACUCAUCCUACCUGGUGCAGUGGCACACAACAAAGCUGGAACCUGGCAGCGCCAAUGUACAGCCGGGACAUGACUGCACCUACCAAACUCACUUUUGAGUGGAAAAAUCCAGCUUUCUCUGGCUGUAACAAAUGAUGCGAUAAAGCUGUUCCCUAGAUGCCUGCCCCUGCUGUGCUCUGAGAAUGAGACUGAAGCAUCAUAUUGAUUUGAGAAAAGGCCAGAUAAGGGUUUUAUCUGGGAUGUCUCAGUCUGAGAGGAGAAACUGAAGCAUGUUUCUGUCUGGACAUCCCACCCUGGUCUUCAGGGGCUGCCUGCCUGGAUCCUCAACCAGCUUGCACUGUUAUCAGCCCUGCCUUGCUAUCGCGUUCCUUAGGUGACAAUCUCUUUCAACUGCAAGAGAAGAAAAAAGAAAUCGCUUAUCAGUUCAAACCUGUCGCAUCAUGCCUCUGUUCAAGGGACUUCCCAUUGCUUUAGUGAUUCCAGUAGUAAGGGACAUUGCAAUGAUGCACCCUGAGGACAUUCAGCUUGUAUUAAACAUUAGGUGGUGAAUGACUGGGAGACUGAGGCUCUCCAAAAGGUCUCUAGGAAAAACAUGAGGAUUUGUCUAGGUGCUGACAGAUGCUGCUGCACCUGUGACAUCUGGACUCUGGCAGCAGAAUGAGAAACUCCAGGGAAAGGUGGACAAAUGCGGGAAAAUGACCCUGUUGUAAGAGCCAAAUUACUGCCCUCCAGCACUGGAGAUGAUCUGGGUGUCUGCAGAGAUAUCAGGUAUUAAACACAAGAUCGGUCUGGCCACAAGUAUCAAACAAGCCACAGAAAUUUACAGAGUUCUUAAUAAGCCCAUGCAUGGGCUUUAUGUGGCAAGGUUUUUGUAGUGGGGAAACUGCAGGGGUGGCUUCUAUGAGAAGAUGCUGCCCCCUUGUUGAACAGAGUCGUUUCUAGCCAGCUGCAAGACAGACCCACUGCUGGCCAAAGCUGAGCCCAUCAGCGAUAUUGGUAGCGCCUCUGUAAUAACAUAUUUAAGAAGGGGUGGGGUGGGGGGGGGAACCCACUUUGCAACAGCAAGCAGAAGA
Molecule: long non-coding RNA, 1778 nt
Organism: Calidris pygmaea (Spoon-billed sandpiper)
Lineage: Eukaryota; Metazoa; Chordata; Aves; Charadriiformes; Scolopacidae
Source: Ensembl